UGAAAAGUGCUGGGCUUUAUAGCUAGCUGCAUCGUUGAAACGUAAGCGUCCAUAUUCGGAUACACGCAGACUGUGUGACAAACGGAGGAAUAAAACCAGGAUAAAUAUCGGCCAGGCGUUUACGAGAUGGAGAGAGCUGCGCGAAAAUCUUGGACUUGACAGAGACUCUGCUCUCGCGAGUGUAUUGAUAGACAGGUUAUGACAGACUUCACAGGUUGAUGCAGGAGAAGAUGAACGAAGCAUGAGGGAACAUCUCCGAGCAAUAAAGGAGGAAACAGAGAUGCUUAGACCAAACGUAGAGCUUAAAGAAAGGAGGGCACUGAUGAAAAUCUACCAGAGAAAUUUUGUGUCUAACCACAGCACGGAGGAGAUUAUCUCUGAGUUUCCAUGUUUCAGACUGGCCAAAAUGCUCCUUUGGGAUAUGAGAGACCAUACCAUCGUUGAUGUGGACCAACAUAUUAUCUCUCAACUCUCAUUAAUGGCACCUAAAGUCCUUCAAGUUUCACAGAGUCCCCUGAUGGAGAAGUUCAGGUGUGUGGUUGAUGACUGUGAAGAUGACAGACUGACAAAAGGACUACAGUUGGAAGCAGCUGUUCUGCUCUUGCCUGCACUGUUUAAGGAGCUCCCGGGGUUGCUGUUUGAAGUUGAGGGUCAUGCUCAGACCUGCCCUCCUGACACACCAACACCUAAAAUGGUGCUCAAAGGCUGCAGGGAGGGUCAUCCCAUGCAAUACGAUCACAUCUCGAUGACACUGGGCCUUAUCCUUUGUAUAUAUUUUCUGUUUGGGAUCCAAUAUCCUAAAGGACUGAAAAAGACACUGACCUUCCUGGAGUGUGUUGUUUUAAAAAUGAAGGAUGCAGCACGGACUUCCUGUCACAAUUAAAAGAGUGUAAAAUUCAAUCUGUGCAUAGAGACACACACUCUCUCUCUCUCUCUCUCUCUCUUUUUCUCUUUCUGGGGCCUAUUCCAAUUUAUAUAUUUUUUCCUUCUAUUUUUUUCUAACUCCUUUAGCCAGUGUUGUUAAUGUUAUAAAGCACUGAUUAUAUUUGAAACUAAAAGAAAUGAAUUAAACUAUAUUAAAAGUGUAAUGUAUUUUGUUUAUCAGUAAGCUUUUAGUACAGGAUUUUGAAUCUUUCAAUCCACGAUUUGGUAUAAAAGCGUCAUUUAGAAGCAUAUUGACUCAAACAUUGUAGUAUAUGGCAUGAUAAUGGCCUACUACCUAAAAAAAAGGUUCUGUAAAGCAGCAUUUGACAAAUGUGCUGUGAAGCUUAAGUGCCAAUAAUGCCAAAAGAGGUUCCCCUAUAACGAGCAAAAGAACCACUCUUGAGCACCAUUUUUAUUGAAGAAAUUGUAAACAAUCAAGGUGCUUUAUGGCACCUCUU
RNAcentral lists this long non-coding RNA (1382 nucleotides) under Carassius auratus (goldfish). RNAcentral's name for it is "lncRNA (ENSCARG00000022043.1)". Lineage: Eukaryota; Metazoa; Chordata; Actinopteri; Cypriniformes; Cyprinidae. The record is from RNAcentral.